GUGCUCGCUUCGGCAGUACAUAUGCUAAAAUUGGAAUGAUACAGAGAUUAGCAUGGUCCCUGUGCAAGGAUGACACACAAAUUUGUGAAGCGUUCCAUAUUUUU
RNAcentral lists this small nuclear RNA (104 nucleotides) under Microcebus murinus (gray mouse lemur). The record is from RNAcentral. Lineage: Eukaryota; Metazoa; Chordata; Mammalia; Primates; Cheirogaleidae.